Molecule: ribosomal RNA, 433 nt
Filed under: uncultured bacterium
Lineage: Bacteria
Description: partial 16S ribosomal RNA
Rfam family: Bacterial small subunit ribosomal RNA
Source: RNAcentral
GCGAACGCUUGCGGCAGGCCUAACACAUGCAAGUCGAACGAACCUUUCGGGGUUAGUGGCGGACGGGUGAGUAACACGUGGGAACGUGCCUUUAGGUUCGGAAUAACUCAGGGAAACUUGUGCUAAUACCGAAUGUGCCCUUCGGGGGAAAGAUUUAUCGCCUUUAGAGCGGCCCGCGUCUGAUUAGCUAGUUGGUUGAGGUAAUGGCUCACCAAGGCGACGAUCAGUAGCUGGUCUGAGAGGAUGAUCAGCCACAUUGGGACUGAGACACGGCCCAAACUCCUACGGGAGGCAGCAGUGGGGAAUCUUGCGCAAUGGGCGAAAGCCUGACGCAGCCAUGCCGGGUGAAUGAUGAAGGUCUUAGGAUUGUAAAAUUCUUUCACCGGGGACGAUAAUGACGGUACCCGGAGAAGAAGCCCCGGCUAACUUCGUG